AGCGUUCUCGCUGGUGCACUUUGCCGGGCACAGGCCAGCAUCAGUUCAGCGCGGGGGAGAAAGGCUUCGGGAAUGUGGCUCCCUCGGGAGUGUUAUAGCCCGCUGCGUAAUGCCCUGCGCCGGACUGAGGUACGCGCAUUGCAAGGAUGCUGGCGUAAUGGUCAUCAGCGACCCGUCUUGAAACACGGACCAAGGAGUCGUCUUCGUAUGCGAGUGUUCGGGUGUCAAACCCCUACGCGUAAUGAAAGUGAACGCAGGUGAGAGCUUCGGCGCAUCACCGACCGAUCCUGAUGUUCUCGGAUGGAUUUGAGUAAGAGCAUACGGGGCCGGACCCGAAAGAAGGUGAACUAUGCCUGUAUAGGGUGAAGCCAGAGGAAACUCUGGUGGAGGCUCGCAGCGGUUCUGACGUGCGAAUCGAUCGUCAAAUAUGGGCAUGGGGGCGAAAGACUAAUCGAACCUUCUAGUAGCUGGUUUCCGCCGAAGUUUCCCUCAGGAUAGCAGUGUUGAACUCAGUUUUAUGAGGUAAAGCGAAUGAUUAGGGACUCGGGGGCGCUAUAUUGCCUUCAUCCAUUCUCAAACUUUAAAUAUGUAAGAAGCCCUUGUUGCUUGAUUGAACGUGGGCAUUCGAAUGUAUCAACACUAGUGGGCCAUUUUUGGUAAGCAGAACUGGCGAUGCGGGAUGAACCGAACGCGAGGUUAAGGUGCCGGAGUGGACGCUCAUCAGACACCACAAAAGGUGUUAGUACAUCUUGACAGCAGGACGGUGGCCAUGGAAGUCGGAAUCCGCUAAGGACUGUGUAACAACUCACCUGCCGAAUGUACUAGCCCUGAAAAUGGAUGGCGCUCAAGCGUUCCACCCAUACCUCGCCCUCAGGGUAGGAACGAAGCCCUGAGGAGUAGGCGGACGUGGAGGUCAGUGACGAAGCCUAGGGC
Molecule: ribosomal RNA, 933 nt
Filed under: Beauveria bassiana
Lineage: Eukaryota; Fungi; Ascomycota; Sordariomycetes; Hypocreales; Cordycipitaceae
Description: eukaryotic LSU rRNA
Rfam family: Eukaryotic large subunit ribosomal RNA
Source: RNAcentral